Alligator mississippiensis (American alligator) is the source of this 2644-nucleotide long non-coding RNA. RefSeq lists it as uncharacterized. NCBI's taxonomy places the organism in Eukaryota, Metazoa, Chordata, Crocodylia, Alligatoridae. The record is from RefSeq and is a predicted model, not a curated record. The transcript is spliced from 2 exons.
CUGAUCAUUAUGAGGCCUGCCAAAUCCACCCAAGUCGAUGUUUUCCCUGUAUUGUGAAAUGCUCUAAUGAUGUCCCCCAGGUAACACAAUGCCAUUUUGUUCAGGAGACAAAGCCUGAAGCUGGUUAACUCUGCCAUCAACAGCAGGUGUCUGGAAUGGCAACAAAGAAACAGCAUCAAUAAUGGAGAAGUGGGGUGAGGGAAGCUAAUCAGCUUAAUGAAAUAAGGCUCAAGGUUAGUAAAGGGCUAUUUAUAGUCUUCUCCUGGUGGAGCCCUGUGCGCUCAGACUCCGGAUAAGACCAGCUCCUUAACAACAGUAAUAAUCAUUACAGAAAAAAAUUGGAGGGGGGGUUAAAGCUUGAAAAAUUCGCUGCCGGAGGUAAAGCUUUAGAGGCAGAGCUGGCUGGAGUCAGAUGUAACUGCAUUACAAAGAGAUUGAAAGGUUAAUAGGAAACCAGCUGACGCUGAAAAAGAACAAUUAGAGAGGUUAAGGGGCUUAAUAUUAGAUUAAUGGCUGCCUGGAGGAUCAAAUUCAGAGAUUCCAGGAAAAUGGAGCUGGGUGCAGAAAAAGCUUUUUCACAGAGCCACACAUCUGGUCCUGUCACCCUCUCUGGAGGAGAUGGACUGAGAUAACUCCAGUGGUCUUCCCCAGCUCUUUUCCCCCAGUCCCUCAAUCUUUUUUCUUUACUGGUCUCCAUUGCUGCCCCCUCCUGAACACACAUGCCUUCCUCAUCUUUGUUUUCUUUGGUCUCCUGACAGUCCUUGUCAUGCAAAGAUCUCAGGACACAGCUCUCCCAGGUGAGCUAGUGUCACCAUGCCCUCAUUAUACAUGGGUAAACUGAGACAUGGGCAGCUGAAGUGACUUGACCAAGGCCACGCACUGAGUCACUGGUAGAGUAAGGUCUCAUCUACCAGCCCCUGGCCCACUCCACCUCCCUUUUCCUGGUUAUGCAGUAGGGAUACUAUGCCUUUCUACAGUCUCAGACACUGCAAUUAUCCACAGCCAUCGACAACACCUUUAGCAGGGCCUUUCUGAAAUUGGAGCUAUUCACAUUCUGUGGCUUGGCACUGGCCGAGACAUGAAGAAGAUGAGGCAUUGAAAUAGGCCUCACACACAGGCAGCCUUCAUCUGAGGAGGGACUUUUCAUAUGGCUCCAAGGUUUUGCUGGGAUCUUCUCUGAGACACAAGCCAGCCUGUUUGCUCUGGCAAAUCUCUGGUAGACUUUUGACAUCUCAUUAGCUCAAGCAGUAAGGAGCAGGCCGUCACUUUGUGUGAUACCCCUGACCUCUCUGACACUGUCAGGACACAAAGGACUGGCAUUUUGUAGAACAACAUUAGGUUGGAGUUUUUCUAGUCUCAAAACUGUUUCAGACUCUGCUCAAUUCCUGGGGCUGAGCAAGGAUCUGACCUAGUCAGCUCACGCUCAGCAAUUCAUUUCUAAAUCAAAGUAACAAAUAGCUCCUAGCCUCUGCUCAGCUAGCAGUGCCUCAGAAAUCAGGACCUCGCUCUCUCACUUUGAACCCCUUCUGGAUACAAUGCCCAGGACCAAACAAAGAGGAGCCAAGUGAGAGGGCUUUUCUUGGUGGAUGAAUAUGCUGGCACCAGGGUGUACCCUGGCUGUGGUCAGUACAACUGCAUACAAAGUCCUGAAGUAGCACACAUGCUUUGCUCCUUUCCUACCUUCUGCAGGGCAUUAGCCCUGCACAUCUGUGCAGAGCACAUCCCCACCAGUCACACCCCUGGCUUGUUCACCUGCACUUCCUCAACAGGGAGCAAAGGUGAGCUUCUGUGGAGGUCUCGUACUGCUGCAGGUCUCAGACUCGCAGUGUUGGAAUGGACCCUAUGAAUCGUCUACAUCCAAGCCUCUCUGCAUGUUCAAGAUACGAAUACAGAACCUUGGGCUUUAAGCAUACUCAAAUACUCCAAGACUUGCAACUCCAAAAAAAUAGAGUUUUCACAGCACUUGCAUAAGUCCAGCUUCCAUUCCAGUUCAAGAGCAGGUUGGGUCCUUAGCUCAGAAAGUCACUUCUAAAGAACUGAAGAUCAUUCUUUCCCAUCUUCCGCUGAGUUCCACCAAGGGAAAGAAUUUAGAAGAGACUGAUUUACUGCUGCAGGCUGAACCAGUCUUUUCUCUGAAUCUGUUUCUCUUUUGCAUCUAAACUGUACAAAAAUCAGCUGUAUAUCGCAUGGAUUAGUUUUUCAUACACAUCAGGGAUAGGGUGAUGUUAAUCGCUAAGAAUUGGCAUGAAUAAAUGAAGCACUGUGACUGGUUGUAAAAAUUAAGGACUGAAGGGAUGAAUGGGAAGGCAUUUGGCAUAUGACCCAGUAGAUGUCCAUCUUCAAACAAUCCCAGUACGUCCAUCUUCAAAACAAUCUCCGUAUGGAAAGAAAAUACGUCCCAGGAAGAUAAAAAAGUGGUCUCUGUAUUGGAAAGAAAAUAUGUCCCAGGAAGAUAAAAACAGUGGUCUCCUUAUAAGAGUUUACUACACCACGACAUAGCAGAGCCUUCCAGGACAGAUGACAUUCAUUACAGUUUCUUUGCUUAGCUCUUCUUUUGUCAUAGCACAGUAGAGUUUGGCUCGCUGGACUGUAACCCUGGCUCCUUUCACAGUUUAAACGCCUGAAAUAAAAACAUAUGGAUUUA